AUUGAACGCUGGCGGCAGGCCUAACACAUGCAAGUCGAGCGGAUGAAGGGAGCUUGCUCCUGGAUUCAGCGGCGGACGGGUGAGUAAUGCAUAGGAAUCUGCCUGGUAGUGGGGGAUAACGUCCGGAAACGGGCGCUAAUACCGCAUACGUCCUGAGGGAGAAAGUGGGGGAUCUUCGGACCUCACGCUAUCAGAUGAGCCUAGGUCGGAUUAGCUAGUUGGUGGGGUAAAGGCCUACCAAGGCGACGAUCCGUAACUGGUCUGAGAGGAUGAUCAGUCACACUGGAACUGAGACACGGUCCAGACUCCUACGGGAGGCAGCAGUGGGGAAUAUUGGACAGUGGGCGAGAGCCUGAUACAGCCAUGGCGAGUGUGUGAAGAAGGUCUUCGGAUUGUAAAGAACUUUAAGUUGGGAGGAAGGGCAGUAAGUUAAUACCUUGCUGUUUUGACGGUACUAACAGAAUAAGCACCGGCUAACUUCGUG
This 484-nucleotide ribosomal RNA is filed under the name uncultured bacterium. Its description in RNAcentral is "partial 16S ribosomal RNA". It matches the Rfam family "Bacterial small subunit ribosomal RNA", at positions 30 to 507 of the family's 1533-position model. The record is from RNAcentral.